GCCUUGCUAGCUCAAUCGGUAGAGCGUGAGACUUUUACGCAUAGACGAAUUUGUCAUAGCAAUAUCUCAAGGUUGCGGGUUCGACCCCCGCGUGAGGCU
This is a transfer RNA of Sphaerobolus stellatus SS14, 99 nucleotides long. It matches the Rfam family "tRNA". From Rfam's summary of the family: Transfer RNA (tRNA) molecules are approximately 80 nucleotides in length. Their secondary structure includes four short double-helical elements and three loops (D, anti-codon, and T loops). Further hydrogen bonds mediate the characteristic L-shaped molecular structure. tRNAs have two regions of fundamental functional importance: the anti-codon, which is responsible for specific mRNA codon recognition, and the 3' end, to which the tRNAs corresponding amino acid is attached (by aminoacyl-tRNA synthetases). tRNAs cope with the degeneracy of the genetic code in two manners: having more than one tRNA (with a specific anti-codon) for a particular amino acid; and 'wobble' base-pairing, i.e. permitting non-standard base-pairing at the 3rd anti-codon position. The record is from Rfam. NCBI's taxonomy places the organism in Eukaryota, Fungi, Basidiomycota, Agaricomycetes, Geastrales, Sphaerobolaceae.